This 253-nucleotide ribosomal RNA is filed under the name uncultured bacterium. RNAcentral's name for it is "partial 16S ribosomal RNA". It matches the Rfam family "Bacterial small subunit ribosomal RNA", at positions 524 to 776 of the family's 1533-position model. The record is from RNAcentral.
UACGGAGGGUGCAAGCGUUGCUCGGAAUUACUGGGCGUAAAGCGCGUGUAGGCGGUCUCGUGUGUCUGGCGUGAAAGCCCCGGGCUCACCCCGGGAAGUGCGCCGGAAACUGCGAGACUAGAGUUCGGGAGGGGAAGGUGGAAUUCCAGGUGUAGAGGUGAAAUGCGUAGAUAUUGGGAAGAACACCGGUGGCGAAAGCGGUUCUCUGGACCGAUACUGACGCUAAGACGCGAAAGCGUGGGGAGCAAACAGG